Myotis myotis is the source of this 1822-nucleotide long non-coding RNA. RefSeq lists it as uncharacterized. NCBI's taxonomy places the organism in Eukaryota, Metazoa, Chordata, Mammalia, Chiroptera, Vespertilionidae. The transcript is spliced from 2 exons. The record is from RefSeq and is a predicted model, not a curated record.
CACCUAGCAGGUAGACAUGAGUCACAACUCAACUGAACCCCGUCCUGCACUUACAGGGAGCAGCGCAGUUCCUUCUCUAGGACAAGCACCAGCCCCAAAUUCUGGGAUGGAUAUAGCUGCUUUGUCUUGUUUUUAAAGAGGCCAACUUCGUUUUAUGGACACUGGCAGAUCAAGGUGUCUCUAUGUUCACUUGUUUUUCUCAAGUCCAUAGAGACAAUAAUAACAUCUCCUUCCAAAAAGAUCCACACCCUCCUUAUUCUGAGUCAAUUCCAGUAAAUUAAACCAAAUAACAAUGUAGCCCAAAGUAACAGGGCCGACGGGCUCAGACGGGAACAGCCCCAGGACUCUAUCCACCCAGUUAUUUCUUUCACGGAUGUUGUCUACACGCUCGUUCUCAGGAAUCCCCUCCUGCACCAGCUGCAGGUUUGUGGGGUGUGGAUGGUAACAGAAAUUCCGCAUGGAAGUACAGCAGACCCGGGUGGAGAGCUACAGGGACUGGAUCAAAUGUCCCCACCACCGCCAGCACCUUGAUGAGCCUCUUGGCCCACCGCAUCCAGUCAUCACUGUGACACCAGGCAAAAAUACUGCCUGUGGGGCUGACACCGGAUCAGUAUAACUGAACCCCAAUGAGCAGGGAGGGCCCAGGUUUGCCUCAUAGAACUGGGUGGCAAGUUCAGAGGGGCUUCUCUAUGGUCCUGGCUCCCUUCCCCCACCUCUGUCUCUCCCUGUCUCUCUCUGCCUCCCAUCCUCUCUCGCCAUGGAUCCUCUGCACCCCUGAAGAAUCAUCUUCCUCACAGUCCAGGGUCCUCUCUUUCAGUGAGCUCAUGGCUUCCCCAGCUCCCUCUCACCCACCCCCUGCAGCCAAGCACCAACAGAGACUAAUUAAAUUCAAUGGUCCCAGGUCCAAAUUAUGGGGACAGCCUCUCAUGGGCCCAGCUGGGUGGGGGAAAGCCCCAGUCCAGUCACUCAUGCAUUCAUGGCUUGGGGUGCUGGGUACAGAAGAGUGGGCGCUGUCUGGGCACGGGUGCUGUACGGUGGGCGCAUUCACUGAUGUGGUGGCAGCAUUCAUCCUGGCAUGUUGUUCCAGGGCCAUACAGAGUUAUUACUGUGGGGCUGGAGGGCAGCUCCAACCCCGUGUGUCUGAGUCACCUAAUCUACAGUCAGAUCUCCGGCGAUUAGACUAUAUUUGGGGUGUCACAGGGGAUCGUACCCUGAAGCCAGCAUUCAGAACACGCUCGGAGGAAUUCAUCUUGUUUACACAUGCCACUGAGCUUCGUGAACCAACGUUAAACUUCACCAGCUCGGUUCGAGAUCCUUUCGCAGUUAGUGAGCGGAUUACUGUUGUGGUGAAAAUAGUGGCAACCAUCAGAGGAAGCUGCAUUACUCACGGUGGCCAAGACAUGGAAACAGCCAAAGUGCCCUGCGAUAGAGGACUGGGUAAAGAAGAUGUGGUCCAUGUACACAAUGGAAUACUACGCAGCCAUAACAAAGGAUAAAAGACUGCCAUUUGCAACACCAUGGAUGGACCUUGAGAAUAUUAUGUUAAGUGAAAUAAGCCAGGUAGAAAAAGCUAAGAACCAUGUGAUUUCACUCAUAUGUGAGAUAUAAAACCGAAACUUGUGGACACAAACAGCAGUGUGGUGGCUGCCAGAGGGAAGGGGUUUGGGGAUGGGUAAAGGAGGCAAAUAUAUGGCGACAGAGACAAUUAACUUUGGGUGGUGGGCACACAGUGUAAUAUACAGAUCUUGUAACAUGGAAAUCCACACCUGAAACCUAUAUGACCAUAUUAACCAAUGUCACCCCAAUAAAUUUAAUUUAAAAA